Long non-coding RNA from Rhincodon typus (whale shark), 1008 nucleotides. RefSeq lists it as uncharacterized. The transcript has 4 exons. Lineage: Eukaryota; Metazoa; Chordata; Chondrichthyes; Orectolobiformes; Rhincodontidae. The record is from RefSeq and is a predicted model, not a curated record.
UGCCAAUCGCCGUCAUUCAGGCGUCGCCCCACCGUCCUAAGCUUGGAAACCCCGCCCAGGUGCCACCGGCAGGUACGUUCAGGAAUUUGCAUUGAUCUUCGGGAUAGAAGACAAAACAAAGAGGCCGCUGGAUUGUAGAGUGAUGAGGGAAGGGGAAAUCUGGAGACAUACAGCCCCCUGACUCAAAGGGAAGCCUUGAAUCCAAAUGACGGCAGGCUAAAAGGCGUGGUACAGGCAGUAAAGAUCACGUCACUGAAGGAGUAUUUAGCUGAGUACAUGUCACACAAUGCUGUGGGCCACAUGCUGGAAAAAUGGGACUGGAGUAGACUGGUGCUUGAUGACCGGUGGAUACACAACGGGCCGAAGGACCUCUUUGCGUGCUGUAUGACCACUACAAGGCUCACCUGGUGGCUCCCCAAUUCUGCCCUCCACCAAUGUCUGGAGUGCUACUCGGCCCCUCCAUUCUGUUCUGCUGUUCGGUAAGAUCACAGCAAGUACCAAUCGUGGACCUCAUUCCUGCCUCCACCAGAUAUCCUCUUGAUUUCUGUUUGUUCAAACUACAUUUGUUCACCUCCUCGGAAAAAUUAAAUCAAACCUGCCAGCCGUGAUUUCCCCUGACAAAGUCAUGCUGAGUAUCGAUGAUUGACCCUUGCCUCUCCAAGCGGAGAUUUAUUCCAUCCCUGGAACUUUUUCCCUAUAGCAUUCCUCCCACGGAGUUUAGAUUCAGUAGUGUUUAGUUCUCUUUUUAUCCCCCACUUGGACAGUGGUUCAGCAUUUGCUAUCCUCAAGUCCUCUGGUGCACCUCCUGUGUCCAGAGAGGAUUUGCAAAUUGACAUCAGAGCUCCUGCAAUCUCUGUCCUUUUCUACAGUAGCCUUGGAGACAUCUCAUCUAGGCCCAGGAAUUUAUCAAAUUCUAAACCUCCCAAAUUUAAUACAUUCUCACUCUCAGUUGUAAUUUGUUCAAGUGUGUUGCAAUCCUCUCCAGCAAUAAACUUACCUACAAAACUA